CGCAGCCUACGGGGGGCAGCAGUGGGGAAUAUUGCACAACGGGGGGAACCCUGAUGCAGCGACGCCGCGUGGGUGAAGAAGUCAUUCGUGACGUAAAGCCCUAUCAGCAGGGAAGAAAAUGACGGUACCUGACUAAGAAGCCCCGGCUAACUACGUGCCAGCAGCCGCGGUAAUACGUAGGGGGCAAGCGUUAUCCGGAUUUACUGGGUGUAAAGGGAGCGUAGACGGCGGCGCAAGUCCGGAGUGAAAGCCCACGGCCCAACAGUGGGACGGCUCUGGCAACUG
RNAcentral lists this ribosomal RNA (285 nucleotides) under uncultured bacterium. RNAcentral describes it as "partial 16S ribosomal RNA". It matches the Rfam family "Bacterial small subunit ribosomal RNA", at positions 332 to 635 of the family's 1533-position model. The record is from RNAcentral.